CGACUUGGAGGUUGUGCCCUCGAGGCGUGGCUUCCGGAGCUAACGCGUUAAGUCGACCGCCUGGGGAGUACGGCCGCAAGGUUAAAACUCAAAUGAAUUGACGGGGGCCCGCACAAGCGGUGGAGCAUGUGGUUUAAUUCGAUGCAACGCGAAGAACCUUACCUACUCUUGACAUCCAGAGAACUUUCCAGAGAUGGAUUGGCGCCUUCGGGAACUCUGAGACAGGUGCUGCAUGGCUGUCGUCAGCUCGUGUUGUGAAAUGUUGGGUUAAGUCCCGCAACGAGCGCAACCCUUAUCCUUUGUUGCCAGCGGUCCGGCCGGGAACUCAAAGGAGACUGCCAGUGAUAAACUGGAGGAAGGUGGGGAUGACGUCAAGUCAUCAUGGCCCUUACGAGUAGGGCUACACACGUGCUACAAUGGCGCAUACAAAGAGAAGCGACCUCGCGAGAGCAAGCGGACCUCAUCAAGUGCGUCGUAGUCCGGAUUGGAGUCUGCAACUCGACUCCAUGAAGUCGGAAUCGCUAGUAAUCGUAGAUCAGAAUGCUACGGUGAAUACGUUCCCGGGCCUUGUACACACCGCCCGUCACACCAUGGAGUGGGUUGCAAAAGAAGUAGGUAGCUUAACCUUCGGGAGGGCGCUUACCACUUUGUGAUUCAUGACUGGGGGUGAAGUCGUAACAAGAUAGC
RNAcentral lists this ribosomal RNA (687 nucleotides) under uncultured bacterium. RNAcentral describes it as "bacterial SSU rRNA". It matches the Rfam family "Bacterial small subunit ribosomal RNA", at positions 813 to 1500 of the family's 1533-position model. The record is from RNAcentral.